RNAcentral lists this ribosomal RNA (492 nucleotides) under uncultured bacterium. Its description in RNAcentral is "partial 16S ribosomal RNA". It matches the Rfam family "Bacterial small subunit ribosomal RNA", at positions 28 to 507 of the family's 1533-position model. The record is from RNAcentral.
GAUGAACGCUAGCUACAGGCUUAACACAUGCAAGUCGAGGGGAAACGGCAUCGAAAGCUUGCUUUUGAUGGGCGUCGACCGGCGCACGGGUGAGUAACGCGUAUCCAACCUGCCCAUCACUUGGGAAUAACCUUGCGAAAGUAAGACUAAUGCCCAAUGACAUCCCACGAAGGCAUCCGAAUGGGAUUAAAGAUUUAUCGGUGAUGGAUGGGGAUGCGUCUGAUUAGCUUGUUGGCGGGGUGACGGCCCACCAAGGCAACGAUCGGUAGGGGUUCUGAGAGGAAGGUCCCCCACAUUGGAACUGAGACACGGUCCAAACUCCUACGGGAGGCAGCAGUGAGGAAUAGUGGUCAAUGGGCGAGAGCCUGAACCAGCCAAGUAGCGUGCAGGAUGACGGCCCUAUGGGUUGUAAACUGCUUUUAUAAGGGAAUAAAGUGGGUCACGUGUGACUUUUUGCAUGUACCUUAUGAAUAAGGACCGGCUAAUUCCGUG